Molecule: ribosomal RNA, 387 nt
Filed under: uncultured bacterium
Lineage: Bacteria
Description: bacterial SSU rRNA
Rfam family: Bacterial small subunit ribosomal RNA
Source: RNAcentral
AUUGAACGCUGGCGGCAUGCCUUACACAUGCAAGUCGAACGGUAACAGGUCUUCGGAUGCUGACGAGUGGCGAACGGGUGAGUAAUACAUCGGAACGUGCCCGAUCGUGGGGGGAUAACGCAGCGAAAGCUGUGCUAAUACCGCAUACGAUCUACGGAUGAAAGCGGGGGAUCGCAAGACCUCGCGCGGACGGAGCGGCCGAUGGCAGAUUAGGUAGUUGGUGGGAUAAAAGCUUACCAAGCCGACGAUCUGUAGCUGGUCUGAGAGGACGACCAGCCACACUGGGACUGAGACACGGCCCAGACUCCUACGGGAGGCAGCAGUGGGGAAUUUUGGACAAUGGGCGCAAGCCUGAUCCAGCCAUGCCGCGUGCAGGAUGAAGGCCUC